Molecule: ribosomal RNA, 499 nt
Filed under: uncultured bacterium
Lineage: Bacteria
Description: bacterial SSU rRNA
Rfam family: Bacterial small subunit ribosomal RNA
Source: RNAcentral
ACGAACGCUGGCGGCGUGCCUAAUACAUGCAAGUCGAGCGGAAUGAUGAAGAAGCUUGCUUCUUCUGAUUUUAGCGGCGGACGGGUGAGUAACACGUGGGCAACCUACCUUGUAGAUUGGGAUAACUCCGGGAAACCGGGGCUAAUACCGAAUAAUCCAUUUUGCUUCAUGGCGAGAUGUUGAAAGACGGUUUCGGCUGUCACUACAAGAUGGGCCCGCGGCGCAUUAGCUAGUUGGUAGGGUAAUGGCCUACCAAGGCGACGAUGCGUAGCCGACCUGAGAGGGUGAUCGGCCACACUGGGACUGAGACACGGCCCAGACUCCUACGGGAGGCAGCAUUAGGGAAUCUUCCACAAUGGACGAAAGUCUGAUGGAGCAACGCCGCGUGAGUGAAGAAGGUUUUCGGAUCGUAAAACUCUGUUGUAAGGGAAGAACACGUACGAGAGUAACUGCUCGUACCUUGACGGUACCUUAUUAGAAAGCCACGGCUAACUACGUG